Molecule: antisense RNA, 75 nt
Filed under: Micromonospora rifamycinica
Lineage: Bacteria; Bacillati; Actinomycetota; Actinomycetes; Micromonosporales; Micromonosporaceae
Description: ASpks TB sRNA
Rfam family: ASpks TB sRNA
Source: RNAcentral
CUUCAACGACCCGAGCCAGAGCGGUCGCUGCGGAUCCCGGCCCUGGCCGUACGUGGCCAGCAGCGCCUGCGCCUC